Molecule: ribosomal RNA, 552 nt
Filed under: Opsarius profundus
Lineage: Eukaryota; Metazoa; Chordata; Actinopteri; Cypriniformes; Danionidae
Description: partial 16S ribosomal RNA
Rfam family: Bacterial large subunit ribosomal RNA
Source: RNAcentral
CCUGCCCAGUGACUAUUAGUUUAACGGCCGCGGUAUUCUGACCGUGCGAAGGUAGCGUAAUCACUCGUCCUUUAAAUGGGGACAAGUAUGAAAGGUUAAACGAGGACUCAGCUGUCUCCCCUCCCCAGUCAGUGAAAUUGAUCUACCCGUGCAGAAGCGGGUGUAAAUAUACAAGACGAGAAGACCCUUUGGAGCUUUAGGUACAGGUAUUAACCGUGUCGGGUAAGUCAAUAAAAGACUCCCCUCCCACGGAACUAAGACCCUACCUUAGGUUGGGGCGACCAUGGAGAAGAAAAAAACCUCCAGGUGGAAUGGGACAUCCCUAGAACUGAGAGAGCCAUCUCUGAGUCACAGAAAUUCUGACCAAAAAUGAUCCGGUCAACUGACCGAUAAACGAACCAAGUUACCCCAGGGAUAACAGCGCAAUCCUCUCCCAGAGCCCAUAUCGACGAGGGGGUUUACGACCUCGAUGUUGGAUCAGGACAUCCUAAUGGUGUAGCCGCUAUUGAGGGUUCGUUUGUUCAACGAUUAAAGUCCUACGUGAUCUGAGUU